This 334-nucleotide unclassified non-coding RNA is filed under the name soil metagenome. RNAcentral describes it as "partial contains 5.8S ribosomal RNA, internal transcribed spacer 2, and large subunit ribosomal RNA". The stretch from base 1 to 120 matches the Rfam family "5.8S ribosomal RNA", at positions 35 to 154 of the family's 154-position model. The record is from RNAcentral.
GAUGAAGAACUUAGCGAAAUGCGAUAAGUAAUGUGAAUUGCAGAAUUCAGUGAAUCAUCGAAUCUUUGAACGCACAUUGCGCCCGCCAGUAUUCUGGCGGGCAUGCCUGUUCGAGCGUCAUUUCAACCAUCAAGCCCCAGGCUUGUGUUGGAGCCCUGCGGCUGCCGCAGCCUCCCAAAACCAGUGGCGGGCUCGCUAUCACACCGAGUGCAGUAGUUUACUCUUCGCUCAGGGCGUGUGGCGGGUGCUAGCCGUAAAACCCCCAACUUCUCAAGGUUGACCUCGGAUCAGGUAGGAAUACCCGCUGAACUUAAGCAUAUCAAUAAGCGGAGGA